This 777-nucleotide unclassified non-coding RNA is filed under the name Hevea brasiliensis (rubber tree). Lineage: Eukaryota; Viridiplantae; Streptophyta; Magnoliopsida; Malpighiales; Euphorbiaceae. The record is from RNAcentral.
AAAUGGGAGUUUAUAGAAUAUUGUAUGGUUACGGAAGCUAUUUUCAUAACCCUCUAUGGCUAGGGAACAGUGUUGCCAAUGAAUAAAAGUACACGACUAAAAAGAAAGACUAAAAAGCCCUUCAAUUUCCAUAAUCUCUUUUUGCCUGCUACCUCUGCACAAUAGUCAUCUCAUAUAUUUUUAAAAUUUUUUAAUUUCAUUUUUGAAUAACAAUUGGAAUACAAUGCCACAAUUAUAUCACCAAAAGUACUCUUUUCAAAUUCUUCUUUGCUUUCUGAGUCAAUGCCAAAACAGAUGCCAAAUCUAUCAGCAUUGAAUGAAAUAGCCUUAUUAAUAUUAAGUAGACUCAGAAAUAGUUUUAGAUUCCAUGGAUCUCCACUACUGUCUCUCUUUCAAUUUUUUUUGUUUUUCAUGAUGACUACUAUUGCUAGUAAAACUGAACCUUUCCAUUUCUUCCAUUUGCACUUGAAGAAGGGAAGAAAUUAUGUACUUAUCCUCAAAAAGGUAGAGAUGACAUGACAAGAAGAGUGGGAGAGAGAUGGCCAAGUACCGAGAGGGAGAAUAGAGCACGGUUGGGAAAACAAAUAAAAUAAUAUGAUUAACUGAUUUUUUUCAAGUAUGUUUUAUAACUUUUUAUUCGAUAAAUUAGCUUUGGCCUAUUUGAAAGUGGCUGUAGAAAUAGCCCUAGCCUUGGAUUAUAGUUUACAAAGACAUAAGAUCUUAAAUUUUGUGUUUUACAGAGAUUAUAUAGGGAGUUAUCUAGAUUGGAGAUCCCUG